This is a long non-coding RNA of Alligator mississippiensis (American alligator), 3081 nucleotides long. RefSeq lists it as uncharacterized. The record is from RefSeq and is a predicted model, not a curated record. The transcript is spliced from 7 exons. Lineage: Eukaryota; Metazoa; Chordata; Crocodylia; Alligatoridae.
UUCUAAUUAUGCCAUCUUAACUGAAGAUCUGAGACCAGAGCCGAACAGAAAUUGUUAACAGAGUUGGGGAACUCGUACAGACUUGCAUCCAGUUUUCAACUGUCAAGUUCCAGCUCAUUCCAGAGGUGACAGACUAAUAAUUUUAAGCAAAUCAGAAAGGACUAGAUUUUUCUUUAGUGAUUUUUAGGAUCUCAGUCUUUUGGGAACCAGUCUGGUACAUAAUUAAAAAACCUAAUUUCUAUAGAUAUACCAGAGGGGUAUAUCUAUGGUGCUUCUACAGCACUCUUGGAUGUGUCACUUUUGAACGUGCCUCAGUCAUCUGCUCCUGAGGCAGCUCUCCAGCAGGGUGGUAGGAUCUCUCUUCAGGCAGCUUCACUGGCUCAUUUCUGCAUUUGAUGCCUGUGGAGUGGAAGCAAGUGAGUGGGUUGUGCUCAAGAGCUGCACUCCUGGGACGACUGGAAGUGGUAUACGCCUAUUUUUUGUUAAGGUUUAUACUAAAGAAAGAUGCAUCUAAACUUUAGGAAACACUUAAUAAAAAAGCAAGCAUCAAAAGUAAAAGGGACUAGCAGUUGACCAGCAGCAUAAACAGGCGGUGAUUACAAACCCUUGAUGCCUGAUAACUUCUCUACAGAACUACAUCACAGUGAUAAGGAAGAGAAAGGAGGGGAUCUUGUCUCUUUCUUAUAAACUUCAACUAUCAUUUAAGUCCUGCUAAUAAUGAAAGAGGGAAGUUCUCGUUUCUCCUUUAGAAGACAUUUACCCAGACAAGACAGUAAGAAGCUUUUCAGUUCAGUUUAGUUAGUAAAACACUUGAUUGGGAAUCAGGGAGCCUGGACUUCAUCCCCAGCUCUGCUACCGACCCAUCGUGUGACCCCAGCAAGUCCCCUACCUAUUUACCUCUUUACUCUUUGUCAGUCUUGCUUAUUCAGACUGUACAUAUUUUUUGUGCAGGGUCCAUUCCUUAGCACAUACUUGCAUAAAGUCUAGUGCCCCAAUCUCAGGUGUGACCUUCUGAUUGAAAUCAUUGCUACCACUACGACUACUUGCCCUCUAUUGCCAAUGCACUGUGAGGGCACAAAAUUGCCCUCUGAAAUGUCUUAUAGACUGACAAAUUGGAAUGACAAGUCUAGACUGUGAAUGAGGAGUUUUGGCACAAACUGGAAUAAAUUGUGAUCCCUAGAUUUGGAUUGUGCACGUGGAUUUCAUAGUUUGCCACACAAUAUGUUUCUGAGUCUAAAAACUGAUGAUGCUACUGUGCUCCCCUAUCUCUCCCCACUUCUAUUGCUCUUUGUAGUCAGGAAUCUUAAAAAUAUGAAUAGGAUAGACGCUGCUACACCGUAGUCUGCCUCUGCAGGUAAAGAGCAUAAGCAACAGCUGAGAGAUGUGACACACUCCAUUCAUCUUCAUUUCAACUCUGAAACCUGGAGAAGACAAUUUAAAAGUCAGCAUUAACUCUUUCGCUGCUGACCAUUUUAGCAGAAAGCAGCCAAUUCAUGUGGCUAUCCUACAAAAAGAAGACUGUAAUACAAAAUCAAGAUUAUAAAGAAAUCAAAAGGAAUUAUGGCAUUGGGAAAAAUCCCAGCUCUGAGAAAAUUAGUCUUGUAACAGAACGUUUCCCUUGGUUCCCAUCAAAAUGGAAGGAGUACUUGUUAUAAUACUAACAGAGUCCCAGUACAACAGCUGGGGCAACAACAGAGGCAAUUAAAGAAGAGUACUGAGAGAAUUGAACUGACCUAACCAAGGGCAUAACAUGAGUCAUCAGCACUGUUGUUUCCCUAACCUAAUUGUACUCACACUUCUAUGAAUUCAUCCGCAUCUCACAAUGGUACAGCUAUGGUGCACUGUGAAUAAAGUAGUACUAAGGAGAGAAGCCCAUUCUGCUAAUGUGGCGACAACUUCCAUUGCAUUAAAAAUGUUACACACUUUCAGUAAGCAUGCAGAUGUGUUAUAUGAAACAGGAACUACAAGUUUUUUGAAAACGUCCACUAUCCUCUUAUAAACCUAUGAAUUCUGCAAUGAAUUCUCUGGGUCUAUUGCAACAAACUCUCAAAACUAUUGAGAAACUAAAAUUAGUGUAGACAACGUCAGUCUCUCUACCAAGUAGCUUAUGUCACAGAGCACAGGAUAUCACUAAACUUGUAUUGGCAUCAACUUUCAAUCUGGUGGUCUUCAGGGCAUUAAAGAGCCAUAUUUCUGAUCUGGGAUUUGUGACCACGGACAACAAACAGGGACUGCCAACAGGGGAGCAGUUUGCAGGCAGCUGCUGGAGGCAAGAGGCGGGAGGAAAGAGGAGGAGAGAAGCCAGGCCAGGAAGCAGAUCCUGUCCGGGAAAGGACCAGACACAUAGCGCAGAGACAUCACGGGAGAGUCCCAGGACACCUGAAUGGAGGACGGUCACCUCCAGAGCUAGACAGCAUGCGGCUGUAACUGCUUCUCCAACGCAACUGGGGAACAGAUACAAAGCCCUGGCAGCACUGGAGGAUGAUGCAGCAGAGGAAGCCACAGGGGAAGACACAUUCGCAACACACACCAGGCAGGCUGAGUGACAACCGAGCAGCUGGAGCAAGACAUGCCGGCGGUCGCUGUCAGCAUCAGGACGCUUGGAUCAAGGAAGUCAACCUGCAGCUCCGGAGCUUGUGCAAUCAUGUGGGUUUUGGCUUCUACAAACACGAUCUGCACUUCCAUGAGAGAGGCAUCCUGGGAUGAAAUGUUCUUCAUCUCUCUUCUAAAGGUCUGUUUGCAGCUGUUCCCUGCCCUCCGGCGUGUCCACUUCUCCCCACAGUUUUGUGUCAUCUGCAAACUUGGACAGAGUACAUUUCACUCCCUCGUCCAAGUCGCUGAUGAAGACAUUGAAGAGUAUCGGUCCUAGGACCGAGCCCUGCGGGACUCCACUGCCCACACCCUUCCAGGUCGAUACCGACCCAUCCACUACGACUCUCUGGGUGCGACCCUCUAGCCAAUUCACCACCCACCGGACCAUGCAGUCAUCCAAGUCGCAGUCUCUUAACUUGUUCACCAGUAUGGUGUGGGAUACCGUAUCGAAGGCCUUCCUGAAGUCUAAGUAAACGACAUCAACCCCUA